Molecule: RNA transcript, 6245 nt
Organism: Zea mays
Lineage: Eukaryota; Viridiplantae; Streptophyta; Magnoliopsida; Poales; Poaceae
Exons: 6
Source: RefSeq, marked validated
UUAAUGAACAUAUAUAAUAUUACCCCUAUUUAUUUAAUGGGCAUAUAUAAUAUUACCCCUACUUAUUUACACCAGCCGAUAAUUAGUUCGAGGGCAAUCGAUUAGCGCUGUGGAUAGAAAUUGAAGCUCGGGUUCAGCAGCCUCGAUCAAACAGCGCCAGAGCCAGAGGGCUGCGAGAGAGGACAGGACUGGACAAGAAAACUGAAAUGAAAACAUGACCAAGAACCCUACCCAACACGAGAAGCCCCAGGCCGAAAUUACCGAAGCGCCCCUCGCCAUUUAACCAUCUCAUCUCCUCACCUCCUCGACGGCGCGACUCCCUCGACCUCGCCCUCCUCCCCCCGCCUUGACGCUGUCGCCUGGUCCUCCGCGGUCGGCUGUCUCGAUUCGAUCGUAAUACAUCGACAAUAGGAUUGAAUCACUUCUUCAAGAUUUGGAGUUGAAGGUGAUAAUCACAUUGAAUACAAUCUAGAUGAUAAGUUUUCUGCUGUACUGGUUACCUUGAAGAUGCUCAAAGAGUCAUUAUCACCAGUGCUGGAUGCUGACAGAAUAGAAGUUCCUUCACCAAAAGAAGAAAAUAAUUCGACAAAUUCUGAAGCUGCUACAGAUAGCGAAGACAUUGAAAUCAGCGAUGAUGAUGACCGCAACCACAAGCACCGAAGACGGGAGGCUAAACAACAAUCUGAUGACAAUACAGAGGAGCAACAUCCAGGGCCACCUCUUAAAAAAAGGAGUAGGGUUGCUGGUAAUGGAGAACCUUUUGGUGGAGCUGGCUCUCAAGGUGAAGUACAAAAGGAUUUUGUGCCAAAUUUUAAAAGGCGUUCUGGAGCAGGAGGUCACACUCGAGCACCUAGAGCGAACCAAUCCUUCCGAGCUGAUUCAUCGGCUUCUGCUGCUACUCGCCCUCCUAUGACACGAGGAAGAGGACGUAAUGUUGCACCUUGGACUCACCAUGAUCCAAGAUUUAACUCACUUGAUAUGAUGGAUUUUGCAUCCCAGAUGGCUUCACAAGGACCACCUGCACAUCCUAGCUUAUUUAUGGGCACUGCAUUGCCAUGUGGUCCAUAUGGAUUUAUGCCUGGAAUGCCUCAUGGGAUUUUGGAUCCAAUCCACCCACUUGGAAUGCAAGGCCCUAUUCAGCGCUCAGUAUCUCCUUUGAUUGAUCUUGGCAUGCCUCGUCAACGUUGCAGAGACUUUGAGGAACGUGGAUUUUGCUUGAGAGGGGAUAUGUGCCCCAUGGAGCAUGGUGUAAAUAGAAUUGUUGUUGAUGAUAUGCAGAGUCUUUCUCAAUUCAAUCUUCCAGUAUCAGUUCCAAAUGCUCAAGGAUUGGGAAUCCAAAAUGAGGGAGGAACCAGUUCUGUUAACUUAUCCAACCUUGGAGGGAGUAAAAGCGUUCCUGUAAAAGAUGUGAAAUCUGGUGUAGCAAGUGAUGCAUUAAAGCCAAAUGGAAGUGCUGUUUCAGCUGUUGCUGAUGCUGAUGUAUAUGAUCCUGAUCAACCUCUUUGGAACAAUGAGCACCGAGAAGCAUCAUCUACUGGCUUUAUAAAUAAAGAUGUUGGACCGUGGAAUGCUGAAUCAUCCGGCUAUGAAAUGGGGCAGGAGCAUUCAAACCAGGUUUUGGCUUCUGAUGGUUCUCAGAGUUUGAAGUCUUCUGUUUGGGGGCGAAUAACAUCAAAAAGAAAACCAGGAGGUAAUAACACAGCUAAAAGUACACCAACGAGUAUCACUGGAAACCAAAAAAGUGAUUAUGAUGACAUGGCUAUCAGCACGGGCCAAGUAAAAUCUGCUGCUAAGGAUACCAAUGGUCAACCCAAUUCAAGAAUAUAUGGAGAUGUGGGCUGGCAAAGUAAUCGAGCUGCUCAGAAAGCAUCCCGUACAUUAUAUGUAAAUGGAAUUCCCCAAGAAAGCAACAGAUGGGAGACCCUUCUAUCGCAUUUUCAGAAGUUUGGUCAAGUAAUAGAUAUUUAUAUUCCAUCUAACAGUGAAAAAGCUUUUGUCCAGUUCUCGAGAAGGGAAGAAGCUGAAGCUGCCCUAAAAGCUCCAGAUGCUGUUAUGGGAAACCGCUUUAUAAAGCUAUGGUGGGCCAACAGAGAUAGAGUUCUUGAUGUGGGAGAGGGCAGAAUCUCUCAAAAGCCUUCCCAGUUGUCUACUACGCCGGCUAAUUCUUACCCCAACAGAGUCAAGGAAAAUGUUCAACCAACAGCUCCAGGGCCCAGCUCUGGAUCUUCUGCUGAACUGUUGAGUUCUGGUACACCAAGUUCUAGAAUGCUGCCAGCAAGUAGUGCGAAAGCAGUACCACCCCAUGCUCCAAAAAGGCAAGAAAGCCUAGAACUAUUGGAAGAACUACGUAAAAAACAAGAGAUCUUAGCUCAGAAGCGUGAUGAGUUCCGCCGGCAGUUAGAGAAACUUACAAAACAAAAAGGUUCAGCAAAUUCAGUUAAGCAUGCAGAGACUGGUGGAAAAGAAAUUGCUUCUAAUGAUGCAUCACAAGUAAAGGAUGCAGCGUCCACGAGGGUUGAAGGGUCACAGGAGACAGCUGGUUCAUUGGAAAAGAGAAGUUCUGGAGAGUUUGCCUUGUUGUCUCAAAAGUCUGCUGCGAUAUCCACGCAGAAACCAGUGGUGGUUACAAAACAGACUACUCUGCCAGCACCUCCUCAGAAUAGGUUUAAGCUUGACAAUCGGACCACAUCAUUCAGAAUUCUUCCACCUUUGCCACCUGAAAUUGCAAAUGAAUCUGUCUUGGCAGACCAUUUCUCAUCAUUUGGGGAUCUUUCGUCGGUUGUCCUGGAAGAUACUGAAGCCCAUAACCUUGAUGCAACCCUAAAACCUUCGCUGAGUUGCUCAGCUUGUGUGACUUACACAACACGACAAUCAGCUGAGAAAGCAUUUAUUGGUGGUAAAUCUUGCAAAGGACACACACUACGAUUUAUGUGGUUGACAGCAUCUCCUGGCUCAAAUAACCAUUAUAGGCAUCAGAAUACCUCAGUUCAUGUGAGGCCCUCUACUAUCCCUGGCCAUACUCAAAGCAUAUCAUCUGAGUCCCCCAGCCCUGUUGGGAAAGUAUCAUCUCUUGCUACAUCUGUUAUGGUAGCCAUUCCUCAUAAUAAAUCCAUCUCAACUGUGGAAAAUACAAAGACUUCUCCAGCGGGAGUUUCCAAAGUUUCAUGUGGUAGCUCCUCUCUAUCAUCAAAUGAUAAGUGUCCUUCUGAAUGUGGUUCCACAAGGAAUGUUAUCUCAGAUUCUGACGUUCCACAAUGAGGUACGCUGCACUGAAUAUGGAAAUAACCUGUUCGUAAAAUAUUAAAGGUGAUUUUAUUGCUGAUGACUAAAUUAGGUGUUUUGAACAACAGCACAAUCCCAAAACCAUGUUCUUUAGGAACCUCUAUGAACCUCAGUUGCAAUAUAUUUGUAAAAUCAGUAAAAGUAUUAUCAUGAAAAAGGUUUCCAGUAUCUUUUAUAAGUCCAGUCAAAAUAUUCAUGGAGAUAUUAUUACCAAUGAGGCAAUGAUAAAAAGUUGCUUACAAGCAUUCCGAAACUUUUUUUUUUUGGGAAAACGCAGGAGAACUGCGCCUCAAUAUAUUAAGAAGAAGAGAUAAAUCCAGAUCAAAGAGAUCUGGACAAUAUAUUCCGAAACUUUUUUUUUACUGGAGGGAGUGCGUCCUAGGACAUCACUUUGUUAUUGCAGGUUUUUAGCAUUGAUUUUUCACAUGUCUAUCUGCCAAAUAGUUGGUGAAAAGGAAAUAACUGACGUUAGCAAGGCAUGCCAUAAUCUAAGUACCAACACUACGACUUACUCUAGUAUUAUGCAGUAAACAAUGAUUUGAACUAGCCUGUUCCCUCCAGUGGCCCGCCUUUGUAUAUGCAUGUUUAACCAACCACCCAGCCCUGCAAUCAAUAUACAGGGAUGCUUAUCACCCAGCCCUGCAAUCAAUAUACAGGGAUGCUUAUCAGAUAGGUUGGCUGUGGAGUUUUCAUAAUACAAUAAGGGAAUCUAUAACAUUACAUUAUAUUCAUGUUAGAUAAUAGUUUUAUUUUCUUAAUAAUUAUUUCCAAGAUCCUUAUAUCACCUUUAGUGGUUUAUAAGUCAGACUACAAUGAUUGGUAUGUGAAUUUUGCGAAAGGGUAACAUAGUAGGCUUGAUGUCCAAUUUCCAAGACUUGCUGUACAUGUAGGGUUAUCAUGUUAAAAUUGAUCCUGUAUGCUCUUCACUUCUAUCAACAAUGUGGUACAAGUCUUCUGUAGUUGUCUUGUACAAGGAUUAAUCAUUUAAGCUCCCAAUGGUUAGUGUCUAGUAUCUAUUAACUCAGUGAGCAACUAAUCAAAAUCUUUCUCCCUUAGCUUAGACAUCUAUUUACAUCAGGUUAAAUAGUGAUGUUGGUUUGUAUUUUGUGUGUAUGUGUGUUUCUAUCUCUAGUUUUAUGAGUGUAGCGUCCCUUUAUUUUGCCUCCACAAGUCCACAUUUACGUUAGGCUGUUCCAUAAAAAAAUACUCCAGAUAAAUAUUGUGGGUAAGCUCCUGCUGAAACUCAUCGCUCAUUGAUGUCAAUGUGUGGUGCAAUAAAUAAUCAUGGAUUCGGGGCUGGGGGUUGUUUGGUACCCCUCUGCUGUUCUGCAGUUUGUGCAGUUUGUUUUCUUCUUUUUCUGUCUAGGCCUUUUAUUGGCACCUUGUUCUGGGUCUAUUUUAGACCUUUUUCUCCUUUUCUUAAUAUAUAAGAUGCGCAGUUCUCCUGCGCGUUCGAUAAAAAAUAAUAAUCAUGGAUUCUUGUUUUAUGUAUUUUUAUUUGUAUGUGAUACACUGAUGUUAACAUGGUCAUCUCAUAUGUGAGCUUAGCCUAUCAACUGCCAAAAUUGAUUUAGAGACAUUUGCUUGAUAGAAGUCCACUAUGACAUAUGAAACAACUACUAGUGUGCAAGAUUGUCUCAUGAAACCUGGUUCCAUCCAAGUUUCUUUAUCUCCUUGCCUUGUCUCCACGCAGUUAUGGGAUUUGUUAUUUUAGUUCACAAGCAGUGAGACACCUCAGCUUCUGACAGAUCGGAAAGGGGAAUUAUGCAUGUUUUUGGCUUUUCACUCAUCUCACUGUAUGUGGGCCAGUCAAGACUACAGAUGACAUGGAUGGAUGGAAUCAUGGAAUCUUUUUUUUCCUGGGGCACAACACUUCUUUUUUGUUUGAUACAUGGCACGAGACUUUUUUUUUAGAACAACGCAGGAGAUCUGCGAGUUAUUUCAUUAAGAAAGAAAGAUAAGAGGCUACCAAAAGGUGAGCCCCCAGUACAAUGGUUGGCUAUGACCUGAGGGCCUAUACGAUGUGCUCAAGGCCACCAAAACACAGACCCCACACCCAACCAAUUUCCAAGGUUGAACUGACGUGCCAGGAGCUCUUGGAGGGCACUGGCACCUGCCCUACACCAAAUGGCACCUUCAUAAGCAGCUUCCUGAAUAACAGCAGGAACAAAAGGCCUUCUCCCCUCCAAGACAGCUUAGGAAUCUGUCGUUGGGCUGAGGUGAGAGAGUCGGCCACUGCAGAGUCCACGCUUCUUUAGCAAAAACGAGACUUGUAAUUUGUACAAUCCACUCUUGGUUUUGUUUGAUUAAACUAUUUGUUUUUUUUUGCUAGGAACCCUGUCUCAUUAGUUUUUAUUCAUUAGUUUGUCCCUUGGUAUCCCAUUUUUUUAAGAAAAUGGUGUGUUAAUCUGUUUUUUCCACAGGCUUAAUGCUAUCUGGACGAGGUGGUGUUAUGAAUCUUGAUUUGGUGGCUCGGCUAUUUCAUAGGUCUACACCUAGUCAAAAUCCCAUCACAUUUGAAGUUAUUGGAAGACCUUUUGAAAACUUUGGUGUUUAAUCGUAGGGCAGCGCGGUUAAGGCUGUAAAAAGAAAAAAAAGAGAAUGUUUAAAGAAAUAUGGGUUCAAAAGCAUACUGGAAGUGGAGGCUUUCUCGGUAACCACCGUCUAAUCAUCUCAUUGUUCACGGAGACUGAGUGGUGCUAGGUUAUUUGUACACUUCAUUUUGGGGGCGCAUCGUGCUGAAAGCAGUUGGUAAUAUGCUAAUUCUGUAGUUUGUAGCUCCUGCUGAAAUCAGCUUUGUGGAUUAUGUUGUGAGCACGAUGAACAUCAAACUCUCGCAAGUCCCAUCGAGGCAUCUUGUCGAAAAACUUCUGCUGUGCAUACUGAACUAAAUUUUGUGCCGGUGUAUCAUCUGUCGACUAUCGUGUUGGUCUAUUUAGUAUCCCUUGUGAUCGUUUACCUUA